AGUCCAUCAAAUCAGGUGUGUCGCUUUAGAAUCGCCUUUAGUUGGGACACGCCCACUCGUCCGCAGAGACCCUACUUGGUUUUAGUGGGUGUAUCAGUCAGUUGGGGCCGGUAACUCUUCCGACUGAUCUGAUUGGACGGAUUUUCAGCUCAAAUCCAAGAAGUUUGAGAUGAGAAAUGGAUUCAAAGCAUAGGAGAAGAAGAGUAGAAAGACAAGAAGAAGGUAAGGAGAAGAAAAGUUUGUUGAUUGUAACACUGUUUUUUCCACCUGUGACAUAAUGCGCUCCUUGUGUUUUUGGCAGGAUUGUGACGUCAUAAAGGUGGUGAACAGGAGUAAUGAUGAGCAGCCAAAUGUUGACAUGCACCUGCUCUCCAGUUUAUGUCUGUGAUUUGGCCGGGUCCCAGAGGAACCCAGCUGUGUGGGAAGGUUCAAGGUGAUGGGUCCAGCCUGCACUGGUCGGCUCACACCUGCGCUCCCAUCCAGGAACGCCGUCGACCCCGCUGCCGGCGAGCCACUCAGGAGCUCGUUGGACCAGAACAACGAUGGCGCUCAGCUUCCUGGAGUUCUGGCAGCUGAUUGGCUGCUUGGGAGCAAGCAUGGGGGCUUCAGCCAAUAGAGCGUCCUC
Molecule: long non-coding RNA, 625 nt
Organism: Austrofundulus limnaeus
Lineage: Eukaryota; Metazoa; Chordata; Actinopteri; Cyprinodontiformes; Rivulidae
Exons: 3
Source: RefSeq, a predicted model, not a curated record